RNAcentral lists this unclassified non-coding RNA (255 nucleotides) under Hevea brasiliensis (rubber tree). The record is from RNAcentral. Lineage: Eukaryota; Viridiplantae; Streptophyta; Magnoliopsida; Malpighiales; Euphorbiaceae.
GCUUACAGUAAAUUUGAUGAUGGAUGCACUGACAUUCUUGAAGUGCAGUCAUUCCUUAGAGAGAAUCUGUGGUUUCUGCUAGGAGAUAGAGACACCAAUCACUUCUUCUGAAUAACUUUUGUCAAAUUGAGUGUUUUGGUGUGUGUUUCCAGUGUGGUCAGAAUUUUGAAUUCUACUUUCUUGCAAUAUUCAACUUUCAUGGUCAGUGGUACUUCAUUAGAGGAAAUAUCUAUUUUAGAUCAAAAUGUAUGGCUG